This 533-nucleotide ribosomal RNA is filed under the name Scolopsis monogramma (monogrammed monocle bream). RNAcentral's name for it is "partial 16S ribosomal RNA". It matches the Rfam family "Bacterial large subunit ribosomal RNA", at positions 1857 to 2586 of the family's 2925-position model. Lineage: Eukaryota; Metazoa; Chordata; Actinopteri; Spariformes; Nemipteridae. The record is from RNAcentral.
GCCUGCCCAGUGACUUUAUGUUAAACGGCCGCGGUAUUCUGACCGUGCCAAGGUAGCGCAAUCACUUCGCCCUUUAAAUGGGGGCCCGUAUGAACGGCACCACGAGGGCUAAUCUGUCUCCUUUUUCAGGUCAAUGAAAUUGAUCUCCCCGUGCAGAAGCGGGGAUAAUCUCAUAAGACGAGAAGACCCUGUGGAGCUUAAGAUUUUAAGAGGGGCCCCGUCUCAGCCCUGAAAAACUGGGUUAAACGAGGGGCAACCAUCUGAUUAUCUUUGGUUGGGGCGACCGCGGGGUACAAAAAAACCCCCACGUGGAUUGAGGACAUAACGCACUCAAAAAUAAGAGUAACCACUCUAACUAGCAGAACUUCUGACUGACAGAUGAUCCGACAAAGUCGAUCAACGAACCGAGUUACCCCAGGGAUAACAGCGCAAUCCCCUUAAAGAGCCCACAUCGACAAGGGGGUUUACGACCUCGAUGUUGGAUCAGGACAUCCCAAUGGCGCAGCAACUAUUAAGGGUUCGUUUGUUCAACG